AUACGGAGGGUGCAAGCGUUGUUCGGAAUCACUGGGCGUAAAGGGCGCGCAGGCUGUUUGGUAAGUCAGAUGUGAAAGCCCACGGCUCAACUGUGGAAGUGCAUUUGAAACUGUCAGACUUGAGUACUAGAGGGGAAAGUGGAAUUCCCGGUGUAGAGGUGAAAUUCGUAGAUAUCGGGAGGAAUACCGGUGGCGAAGGCGACUUUCUGGCUAGAUACUGACGCUGAGGCGCGAAAGCGUGGGGAGCAAACAGGAUUAGAAACCCUAGUAGUCC
This 274-nucleotide ribosomal RNA is filed under the name uncultured bacterium. RNAcentral describes it as "partial 16S ribosomal RNA". It matches the Rfam family "Bacterial small subunit ribosomal RNA", at positions 523 to 796 of the family's 1533-position model. The record is from RNAcentral.